UACAGAGGUGGCAAGCGUUGUCCGGAAUCAUUGGGCGUAAAGCGCGUGUAGGCGGCCAGGUAAGUCCGUUCUGAAAGCCCGGGGCUCAACCCCGGGAGGCGGAUGGAUACUGCUUGGCUCGAGUCCGGAAGAGGCGAGUGGAAUUCCCGGUGUAGCGGUGAAAUGCGCAGAUAUCGGGAGGAACACCAAUGGCGAAGGCAGCUCGCUGGGACGGUACUGACGCUGAGACGCGAAAGCGUGGGGAGCAAACAGG
Molecule: ribosomal RNA, 253 nt
Filed under: uncultured bacterium
Lineage: Bacteria
Description: partial 16S ribosomal RNA
Rfam family: Bacterial small subunit ribosomal RNA
Source: RNAcentral